GGCGCGGUGGCCUAAUGGAUGGUGUGUUGGAGUCUGGAUCAAGCGGUCCGGGUUCGAGCCCUGGCCUGGGUCA
Desmophyllum pertusum is the source of this 73-nucleotide non-coding RNA. Lineage: Eukaryota; Metazoa; Cnidaria; Anthozoa; Scleractinia; Caryophylliidae. The record is from the annotation of a GenBank genome assembly.